Molecule: long non-coding RNA, 1893 nt
Organism: Ursus maritimus (polar bear)
Lineage: Eukaryota; Metazoa; Chordata; Mammalia; Carnivora; Ursidae
Source: Ensembl
UUACCUUUGUAAAUAAAUUCUAAGAAUGGGAUGGAGCUGAAAUUAAGUGUAGAGGAGGACAAAGGGCCCAUAUGCCGGUACUGAUGUAUGCCACCAAGUCAUACUGAUUGUUCAGAGCCCAGGGAAGCUAUAGGAGAGAGCAGAGUAGGGACAUGAGGAAGGGAAAUGGAGAGCUGCCCUGUCCUAUUGAACCAGGUCUUCAAGGUUUUAUCUAGCUCUAGGAUUUUUCAAGGACACUGCAUUAUACAUGUGAAUGUUGUAGUGAUAUGACAUAAACCCUAUUCAAAGCACAGUGUAAAUUUGGAGGAAAAUUAUCUUUGCAUUGUUUUUGAGGAUAACUGACUGUUGAUGAUACAGGCACUGUUGUAACUCACUUCACCCUGUACGAGUGCUUUGUGGUAAAUUCGGUUAUCAUCCCUAUUUUACAGAGGGGGAGACUAACGCGUAGGGAAGUUCAGUGGUUCUCCACUGGCCACAGCUCAGCCAGCAAGCAGCAGAGCCUGAAUUCAAGCCCGGGCACUGUGGCUCCAGACCCCAAGCUAAUCCUUGUGCUUCUUGCAGCACGCCUGCUUCCUUGUCACUAAGAACUUGGUGCAGGAAUUUAACAGUACCUUUAACUUCUAGUUUUUCUUUCUCAGAACUGAUUCUGCGUUGCAGUGCAUCUCUGCAUAAACAUGUAAGUGUUUAAUUUUGUCACCUUUAAUUUUGUUUUUAGAUAAGAUGUGAAGGAAUCAGGCUGUUUCUUCUGUGGCUUCAAGCACUUCAGACACACUGUGCAGAAGAGCAGGUGCUGAUUUGUGCUUGCCUCGUGCCUGGUUUCGCAGCGAUCAUGUCAUCCCGAGGGCCCUGUACGCUGCACUCAUCAGUCCUAACCCUAGUGUGGCUCAUGGUGGAAGCAGCCUUCCUCAAUACUGGCUACAUCUCUUCCUCAUCAAUUUGAUUUUGAGCUCUCCAGCAUCUGUGCAAGACCAAAUUUCAGGUUUCUGGCCUUUGAGUUGUUGCAGCUGGAAAACCCAACCUGACAGGCUCAAAGAAGGGGGACGACUGUUUCACAUAACUGAUGUCUAGAGGAAGGGCUGACAUCUCUCACUGCUAGAGGUGGGGACUCAUGUUUGCUAUCUCUUGACUCAGUUCUGAUGCCCCCUGUAAUUUGCCUUCAUUUUCAAACAGCUGCUCUGGGCCUCCUGUCUUCUCAUCUUCAUGCCCAGCAAAAAAGAGAGAGCCUGCUAUUCAAAUAGUUGAAAGAAAAUUCCACCAUGAAGUCUCAUGAUCCACAGGUGGCCAGACUUGGGUCACAUGCCAUCUUUAAGGCAGUCACUAAGGCCUGGGGGAGACUGGCUGCUCGGACUGCUUUAGCCAAGAUCACAUUCUCCAAGUCAUGGUCCAAAGCGUAGCGUCAGCUUCCCUGGAAACUGGUGGAGGGAGAGGGAAGGAGGAUGCAUCACCACCUGGAUGGCCUUCUCAUUAUUAUAAGAAGGCCAGGCUGCCAUUGGUUUGUGAGUCAGCACUAACCUCAGGGACUGUUUGAUGAUGUUGCUUUCACAUGGACUGUGUGACCAGUGAGGAAUGCACACAGCCUGUGGGUAAACAGUCCUCAGCACCAUGUAUCAGCUAACAGCCAUUCAGGAAGGGUGGACAUUUUUCUUAGUCUAUUCCUCAGGGGCCUGGAUUUGGGUAAAAGAAAAAUAAGUAUCGUUCUUCAUGAUUACAAGUACCUCACCAAAAUGUUGGAUCCUGUUCACCAGGAAGCCCUAUAUUUUCUGAACACUUUCAUGGCUGUGGGAAAAUCUAGAAAGGGCCGAACUGUUCUACCCUACAGAGGUAGGGUUUCAACCUGCUGAGGGAUCUGGAGGGAAGGGACGGGUGGACAAGUAGAAAAUACUAAGGGAAAGA